AAUUCCCUAGCUCGUAGGACAGCAGAUUAAGUCCCUGAGCCGAUAAACUUUAUCUAGGGGUGUAGUUUGCUUACUAUUGCGCAAGCUUGGCAUGUACCGAGAAGCCUACGGUGAGCUGUUACACUCCGCCUUGAACCUUAGGGUUCAAGGGCUGACAUCAGCAUCCGCGAAGCCGGGGAAGUC
Pseudoalteromonas phenolica is the source of this 183-nucleotide non-coding RNA. It matches the Rfam family "6S / SsrS RNA". Rfam says of the family: E. coli 6S RNA was the first non coding RNA to be sequenced, but its function was unknown until recently. It consists of 184 nucleotides that fold into an extended hairpin structure with a large single-stranded internal bulge. The 6S RNA specifically associates with RNA polymerase holoenzyme containing the sigma70 specificity factor. Lineage: Bacteria; Pseudomonadati; Pseudomonadota; Gammaproteobacteria; Alteromonadales; Pseudoalteromonadaceae. The record is from Rfam.